Molecule: RNA transcript, 4528 nt
Organism: Malurus melanocephalus (red-backed fairy wren)
Lineage: Eukaryota; Metazoa; Chordata; Aves; Passeriformes; Maluridae
Gene: TMEM60
Gene name: transmembrane protein 60
Exons: 4
Source: RefSeq, a predicted model, not a curated record
GUUCCCUGAGGCGGAGCGGGCGGGGAGGGCUCGGCGCCCCCUCAGCUGAGCGCGGGCCCCGCGGACCGGGGGAUGCGCCGGUAUCUGCGGUUGUUGCUGACAGCGAAGGACUUCCCCUCAAAGCUGUUUAAAUGAGAAUGUCCCUGGCGCAAAGAGUGCUGCUGACAUGGCUUUUUACGUUACUCUUCCUGAUCAUGCUGGUGCUAAAGUUGGAUGAGAAAGCACCAUGGAACUGGUUCCUCAUUUUUAUUCCAGUGUGGAUAUUUGAUACAAUUCUUCUAGUUAUGUUAAUUGUAAAAAUGGCUGGACGGUGCAAGUCUGGCUUUGACCCUCGCAAUGGCUCCCAGAACAUGAAAAAGAAAGUCUGGUACCUCAUUGCAAUGCUGCUGAAAUUGGCCUUCUGCCUAGCCCUGUGUGCGAAGCUGCAGCGAUUCACCACCAUGAAACUGGCCUAUGUGUUCAUCCCGCUCUGGGCCUUGCUGAUUGGGGGCAUGGUUGAACUUGGAUAUAAUAUCUUCUAUGUACGAAGAGACUGAGCUAUGCCAGAUGGUUUUCAGUGCCAAGACUGGCACCAGUUUACUAGAUUAUUACCAUUUUGCCACAAAUUGGAUCUUCAAACUAGAAAGCCAAAUGAGUCAAGCUGGAGACUUUAGCUAAAGCAGGCUGAAGACUGAAAGUAGACUUGUUCCAUUUUUUUUAUUUUAAAACUGUCACAUAUACUCUUGUAAAUAAAAGUAUUUGUUCAACAUAAGCUGUUCUAAUAUUACUGUUAUUUUUUACAUGGAAUAAGAUACAGGUUCUUCAUGUGCAGAUAGAAGAUUUUCUUAAAGAAACCACCAAUGUUCUACCCAGAGUAUUCAGCACAUUGCAUGAUACUAGGAAAGAGAAAUAACAUUUUCUGCUAUUCAUGCUUGAGAUUCCAUCACAAGCCUAAAAAUAAGCACUGUUUUCUAAGCUGCUUGAAACAGCCCAUAACCAGUAUGUUAACCUUGGGAACAUGGUUGGUAGCUGAACUGUGCCAGCAGUCCUGAGAUCCAGAGAAGAGGGAGACAGUGGUGAUUCUUUUCCAARUGAAAAAGCACCAGUGGUGCAAGAGACUGAUACCUGAAACUACAGGGUGAGUUCAGUACUGUGUUUGUACCUGACCAAAGUGGUGCUUGGACAAGGCAGUUUUAAUGCCUGAAGAUAGGAAAUUUUCAGGGAUGAAGCCUUAGCUUUGUGGGGUACUGGCAAACUCAGAUGUGAGUAAAUGACCUUUUCCAGGUAACAAGUGAAUGGGAUUUCUGGGAAGAAAUGGAACUGAGUGUAUUUUGUGGACUAAAGUGCUCUUCCAGGAGACACAGUAACACCAAAUUCAAAUGUAGCAGUUACCUGGGACAUAAUUAACAUGCACUCAAGGUACUGAUCCAUUUAUGGUCUAGGCACUGAAGAAUGUCAAGUGACUAAAAAACUAUCUAGGGUAACAGGGCAUGCCUAGACCAGUGUCUCACUAAUAAAAAUUUAAUUAUGUAUAUUCAACUGUACUUGUUUGGGGAAAAAAAAAAUCUUCCUGAACUGUUUGGAUUUACUCUUGCUGUUCAAUCACACAGAUAUGGGUAGAUGCAGAGGGGCCMUAUUGUGGGAGACUGCUGAAAGAGUUUUAUCUAAGAAAACAACACAUUCCAUUCUACAGCAAUGAAUCUCAAUUUAAAAUAUCAGGUUUUGAUGGAGUUUAUCUCCCAYAUGAGCCUUGUAGACCUGAACGGACCUGGAUGUCAGCUUGCUCUGAAAAGCAUCAGGCUUUGGAAGCAAAGGCAACUUAAGGAAUCUCUGCAGCUGGACCACUUGAGUACUGUUCAAUAUAAAUUCUCCUUUUUCUUGAACUGAAGUGGAAUAAAGAAUAGGAAAAUCUGCAACACAGUAAUGCCAUUCCCUCUGAUCUACCUUUCCUAACAAAACCAACAUCCCAAGAAGACAAAUGUAAGGAAAUGCUCCCUACAGUGCAGAACAACAACRUAAAAGCAAGAAACAGGGAAGCAAUGAGAACGUGAGCUUAGUUCAUCAGGGUUAAUUUUUAUCUGUGUUCCUUCUGAAGUUCAUAAAGAAAUCACUGCUAAAAAAUGUUUUUUAGUCUAAAAAUUUAAUUUCUGUGAUUAACUCAAACUCUCCUGUUCUUCAGUUUACACUGGCAAGUACCUGGGUGUUAUGGCAUGCUUAGGAAAAAUUUAGCAGUCUUAYGUUACAUAGUCUCCCCACACACAGGGCUAACUCUCAAGAUUUUCAUCUCCAGACACGAGGAACAGCUUUCUCUGCUAAGGGCCCCAUUUUAUCUCAACACAACUGGAUAAAAAAGCUCCCAUAAAAAGCACAGUCCUUAAAACAAAGGCCUGAGCUGCACCCAACAUGGUACCAUCAUUCCAGUGGAUGGCAAAUUAAAUGGUAAAAGAAAACAUAGUAUAUCAAAAUAGCUAUUGAAAAAUCAAACUUGAUAAAAAUAGAAGUUUAAACUGCUGUUUUAAUCAAUGCUUGUAUAAGAUAACUGUACACCAAAUAUUAAAGGACUAUUUAGGACUAACGCCCUCAUCAGUAGGCUCAUCUAUCAGCAUGACCAGAACAAGAGAAGAUCAAUGUUUAGCUGGCACUCAAGUACAGCACGGCUUCAAAGCAGAGAUAAUAUCAGCAUCAAAGCACAGAGAAAAACAGUGGUUAGAAUAUAAUACACUAAAUUUGCAAAGUCAGUAUCCCUGAUGAUUCUAACAGAAACAGCAACCUAAAUAUUGUGAAGUUAAUCACUGCUUCUGAACAGAACACAAAAUAACUUGCAUUUUUAAGAAAAAUGAAAUGAGUGACUGAUGGGAAUCAGUUCCCCAAAUAUUCCCACAUAUGCUGCAAAUUCAGUGGGAUCUGCACAAAAUAUCUGUAUCUUCUAUACAAUUUUAAAGUGCAUUUCAUCCAUUUAAGAAAGUAAUAAAAUAUCAGCUGAACACAGUGACUCGUAAUCAAAUAAAACAUUCUUGACAGUCAUUCACAGCAAAGCACAAAGCAGUGACAAUUUGUCCUUUCCAUUUCCAGCUUGGAUACAUCCAGGGUAAGGUACAGGCGCUGCGCUACCUAAAGACAAGGCUCUCUACGUACCUGACCACUAGAAGAAAAUAAAUAAAUGACACUUGAGAAGCUUGCAGAGUUCUUUGAUCUCUUGAUCAGAAUCAGUACAGCUUUCAGCCUAGCAGGGUCACAUGGCAGUGUACUAUCUCACAACAGUUCAUUUUGACAAUGAACAAGGAAAAAUCAUGGAUUUAUUUCCAUUAAUUCAGCAUCUUAUUCACAUGCAGAUAUUAGAAAACAGUCAUUUUGAUCAAUGAAUACCAGUCUUGUGUUUCUUGGAAGACUUACUCAAUUUUCCAAAUCUGUAAUGUUUAUAUCUCUUUCACAGCAUUCUACUAUUUCCRAUUUCCAUUUCCUAUAUCUUUUGCAAUUCCAACUUAUUUACUGUGCACAUGUAUAUCCACUUAAAAAUCAACUUUAUUUAUCGCCAGGGAAUUCUUUCACAGAUGAAGAAUUAAAUCAUCACCCUCUAAAAUAAUACUUUAUUUCUAAUACUAGAUAGAAUUAAUAUUUCAGUUAAAGUAGUAUUGAAAUAUUAACUAUAAUAACAAGGAAGGGAAAAUCUGCAUGCCAGCAGUACCUGUAAUGAAAAUGUUCUUUCAGAAUCAAUUUUCAGGUAUUUGGAGGGCUGGGGGUGACACAACACUGAGUAACACUUGUAUGUAACACAUGAAGUCAGUCGCCAGUGAAAUGCAAAAGAUCCAGUAAUAUCAAAAGAAAAAAAGUAGCUACCCCCUUGAAAGCUCCUGUAGCAACUGUAACAAUGCAAUUCUUUGCUACCCACAAAUAUGUACCAGGAUCUAAGGAAACAUCUAAAUUUCUGCACAUCAUGUCAUUAACUGGAAUACCACUGCACGUGCAGGGAGAUAGGAACAUCACCAAUGGCCUCAGGCAGAUAUCUCCGCUCUGAACAAGAACAAGGGCCAAGACAGACAACCAAAAUACUGGAGAUUUCAGCCAAAAUAACAGAAGAUUUAUAAAUCACCAAAAUCCAGAGAAUUGAGAAAAUCAAUAAGCAAGGASUAAUUUCAGUACAGCAGAAUGCAUGGAAGAUUUAUUGCUGAAGCAAAAGUCUGAAGAGGAAGUCGUACGCAGCAGGAAUAAAGGCUGUGGGACAGGACUGAAGCAAGACCUUUGUCAGACUAAUGAACAAUUUGGGAGGUGAAAUUCUCAGAAAAAGUACUCCCCUCUCGAAGGAAAACCUCAUUAAAAUGAACAUACCACAGGGAGAGGACAAYUUUUUUUAAAUCGUUUCUUUAAAAAGCAAGUAAAAAGUAAACUGUAAUGCAGCCAAUCAGCCCAGACUGCUGACACCUGUAAAUGCAACGGGAGAUCUGGUAGCCAUUGAUAAUCCCAGUAUGGUUCAAAUUCUGUCUGCAAGGAAUUCUGCCUAAAGUGCGAAUCUAGUCUGUCUCAAAAAACCAAAAGAAUGCCUAAAAACUGG